Aquila chrysaetos chrysaetos is the source of this 974-nucleotide long non-coding RNA. RefSeq lists it as uncharacterized. The transcript has 3 exons. The record is from RefSeq and is a predicted model, not a curated record. NCBI's taxonomy places the organism in Eukaryota, Metazoa, Chordata, Aves, Accipitriformes, Accipitridae.
GUUGUGAGUAGCAAGAGCUGGGUAGGAAAUGUCUCUCCUCUCCACACGACUCCUGGAGGUGAGGAAAAUGCUCUCUGAGAAAUGAAGACCCUCUGGCUGCUUUUUAUGAAAUGUGAGAGGGGAAGAGAUCACAGCCAGCUCAAGGGCAGGAGUUGGACCAGGCACCUGAGGCUGAGGGCUCCCACGCCGGGGUGGGAUUUGACUCACCUACCUUUACAUGUCUACGCUAUGGCUGUCUGCAUCAGCACAUCACCCAAGGCUCCCUUUACUGUCAAUGGGAGAAAUGGGUGUGUUUUGGGCAUGAGUCAACUGGCCUAUUUUUGCUUUCUGUCUUAGGGUAAGGUGAAUUGCUCUGGAUUUUCCUCUUCCUUUCUGUUGCUGUAAAGGGACAAUUAGCUCAGACGAACUUGAUGCCGCCAGUGGGUCAGAUGAAUCGCCAUCCCAAGUUAGUUACUGAGCAUUAGCUGCCGAUGUGCCCUCCCCUAGCCUGGGCAAACGUAAGUGUGAAGAGGGAAGAAAUUCAGUGGCUCAGAAACCAAAGGCCAGCUGUGAGGAAAACAAUGAUGCCAUGCUUUCUGCUAUUAAUCUGAUGUUUCUGUUAAAAGAUGCUUCAACUAUUUUGGUGGAAAGAGUUUCACAGUAAAUCGCAAAAACACAAAGGAGAGAGAAGGAAUUUAGUUAAGAGAACACUGUGAAAGGAAGACACGUGCCCCGAAAAGCUGUGCAAUUCCCUUAUGCUGGAUGGUGCUGUAGGCAUCAAAAAAUGAAUGCUGCACAAGGAAAAAUGUCUUCCCUGCCAAGCCUUCCAGCCCAAGAACCUCAGCUUUUGUGAGUCCAGGUGGGGAAAAAUUUCUAAAAAUCAAAUGUUUUAUAUAUUUAUUAUCACCACUGUACACCUGUAGGGCUCUGUGGAACUGCAGUGACCAGAGAGAUGGGAAACAUUUGUCUUUUCUGAGCCUCUUGCAGAUGUCUCA